UUCCCAGACAUAGUGUAAAAAAUUUAUUAUAAAGAAAAUGUUAUUUUCUUGAAACACAAUCAAAAUCCGCCCCACUAAAUUCUAAUAUUUUAGUAACGAAAACACAUUCAAGUUAUUUUCUUGAAACACUUUCAAAGUCCACCGCACGUUAGCAAUUUGAAUAUAUUGGAGGGCAUUGUAUCAUUGUCAUUAAUAAUCCUUUCCUGGUUGGAAAACAGGAUUUUUUUUAAACUAAUUUUUGUCAUAGGACCUUUGAGAAGCAGGGUUUGGCGCCAUUUCUGUGAUUGCGUCAAAUGGCAGAGUCACCGGUUUUUGAUCGAAUGAUGAGUCAUCUUCGUGCAACAUGCAAGUAUUACACCGGUUAUCCAAAGGAUCUUGGGCCAUCACGAGUUAUUCAUUUUACUUCCGAGCGUGAGUUUGUUCAGCUUCUACAUAAAGGAUACCCUGUGGUUGUUGCGUUUACAAUCAGGGGUAAUUACACUAAAUAUCUUGACAAAGUACUGGAGGAAGCAGCUGCUGAAUUUUAUCCACGUGUUAAAUUUAUGCGUGUUGAGUGUCCAAAGUAUCCUGGAUUUUGCAUAACACGACAGAGGAAGGAGUAUCCAUUUGUUGAAAUAUUUCAUAGCCCAGAGCAAGUAGGUUUGACUAUAUAUUAUUUUUAUAUUGUUUUUUCAGGUCUUGUUGCUGCUAUACAUGGUGAAAUCUCCAUGUCUGACUUCGCUUCAAAUUAUUGGAAUUGGUGAAAGUGUUUCUUCUAUAUUGUAUAGACUGCUAGAAUUUGGUUGUCUUCCUGUCCCUGGCUUAACUGUAAAUGGUUUUCUUUGUUAUUGUGUUUUCUUGAUAAAAAAAUAUUUACAAUUCCUUACAUUUGUAAUUUUUCCCUCUUUUUAUGCUGAAAGGAUAAGGGGACUGUGAUCAAUUGAGGAAGAUAUAACCUAGGAUCUCUUAUUCAGAUGCAAACUAUGCCACUGCUCCUUGUAUUUGUUUUAAAAGAAUGAGAACCAUUGAAAUGAAGUCUUUGUACUUGUUUUACACGUCUUUAAAAUGAAUCAUUUUUUUUAUAUAUUUUUUCAAAUUCUUUUAAAUGAAUGGUUUCUGUAUUGCUUUAUUAAUUUCUCUCUUCUGAAUGCAACAACACCCCUCUUUCCCCAGCAAUGCAGUUGCAGGGGGUGUGGUUUGGCAGUAUUAUGAAUGUAUAUGU
Molecule: non-coding RNA, 1201 nt
Organism: Camellia sinensis
Lineage: Eukaryota; Viridiplantae; Streptophyta; Magnoliopsida; Ericales; Theaceae
Source: RefSeq, a predicted model, not a curated record